AUUGAACGCUGGCGGCAGGCCUAACACAUGCAAGUCGAGCGGAUGAAGGGAGCUUGCUCCUGGAUUCAGCGGCGGACGGUUGAGUAAUGCCUAGGAAUCUGCCUGGUAGUGGGGGAUAACGUCCGGAAACGGGCGCUAAUACCGCAUACGUCCUGAGGGAGAAAGUGGGGGAUCUUCGGACCUCACGCUAUCAGAUGAGCCUAGGUCGGAUUAGCUAGUUGGUGGGGUAAAGGCCUACCAAGGCGACGAUCCGUAACUGGUCUGAGAGGAUGAUCAGUCACACUGGGACUGAGACACGGUCCAGACUCCUACGGGAGGCAGCAGUGGGGAAUAUUGGACAAUGGGCGAAAGCCUGAUCCAGCCAUGCCGCGUGUGUGAAGAAGGUCUUCGGAUUGUAAAGCACUUUAAGUUGGGAGGAAGGGCAGUAAGUUAAUACCUUGCUGUUUUGACGUUACCAACAGAAUAAGCACCGGCUAACUUCGUG
This 484-nucleotide ribosomal RNA is filed under the name uncultured bacterium. RNAcentral's name for it is "partial 16S ribosomal RNA". It matches the Rfam family "Bacterial small subunit ribosomal RNA", at positions 30 to 507 of the family's 1533-position model. The record is from RNAcentral.